AAUUUCAUCUACUCCGGCAUAAACCUGAAUUUGGCACCUGCCUGUCUGUAAUCAAGUCUCUCUUAGAAGCAUGCUGAAGAGACUUGUGAAGUUCUGGACUUUUGACUCAAGACACUCAUGGCGGUUUAAAUUUUGUCCUGAUAAUUCAGCGCCCCGCUGACACACGGGAUCUGAGCGGAUGACGGAAUAUCGGGUGCUACUUAAGCCAAAGUUUUAAAAUUGGGAAACAUUUAUCAAAAUUAAAUAACCAGGAGUCUAUCAGAUUCUGUGAAAGAAGGGUUAACACUAUCUAGAACGGGAAGCACUCGACAUUGUACUCUUGAGCACAGGUCUGUCACAGACACGCUUCAAGCUCCUAUUUAGCAUGGCGCUUGAGCCCACUCUUAAAAGAUUGUGUGAGAAAGUGUGAGAGCGCAGAUGCUCUGGUGUGGAUCUUUAAGUGAUUAGGUUACCUCCACGAUGUACUCUUUGUGUAACGUGUUAAAUAUCUGUGCACCUGCAUGUGUCAUUAAAGUAGUGGUAAUAUCCCCCUCAGUCUUACUCCACCCACAUUUCAUAUUUGAAAAAUGCGGCCCAAAGAGGCGUUUCCUGUAAGACCGAGAAGGUGGAGCUACAACCGUGAUUGACAUACUGAAAUUUGAAUACAGAUGGCGACGGAGAGCGACACUAGCUCAGAGCAGUCAUUCGAGGUGGAGGACUUUUCCCCACCUUCUUCCCCAGAGUAUAGGGAGGAGGGCUUAUUGGGGGAAGCAAGCGGUCCUGAACCGUAUCUUUUUGAGCCACUAGCUCGUGAGUUGUCAGAGGCCCCUGGAGCCGAGCCAACAGGAGUAUGAAGGCAUCGAAUGGGUCCAGUCUCUGAGUGGUGCACCUGCGGCCACUGCACAUCAUUGUCUGCCAGAGAAAAUGUGUGCUGCAGAGAAACGCCCAAGGUAAUGCUCAGGUGUCAGCAGGUGGGUGUAACCUCCUGCAUAACUGAGCAUCCUGGUUUUGAGCCUGUUGCUCUGAAUCCCUACGUGUUGCAGGCAGUUUAUGGCACCUUUCUGCAACUCUAUGGGGAGA
Molecule: non-coding RNA, 1059 nt
Organism: Nothobranchius furzeri (turquoise killifish)
Lineage: Eukaryota; Metazoa; Chordata; Actinopteri; Cyprinodontiformes; Nothobranchiidae
Source: RefSeq, a predicted model, not a curated record